Molecule: ribosomal RNA, 445 nt
Filed under: uncultured bacterium
Lineage: Bacteria
Description: partial 16S ribosomal RNA
Rfam family: Bacterial small subunit ribosomal RNA
Source: RNAcentral
GUGAGGAAUAUUGCGCAAUGGAGGCAACUCUGACGCAGCCAUGCCGCGUGCAGGAAGAAGGCGCUACGCGUUGUAAACUGCUUUUAACCGGGAAGAAACCCCAGGACGUGUCCUGGGUUGACGGUACCGGAGGAAUAAGCACCGGCUAACUUCGUGCCAGCAGCCGCGGUAAUACGAAGGGUGCAAGCGUUAUCCGGAUUCAUUGGGUUUAAAGGGUGCGUAGGCGGAGCGUUAAGUCAGUGGUGAAAUCCUGCAGCUUAACUGUAGACUUGCCAUUGAUACUGGCGCUAUUGAGUGCGCUUGAAGUGGGCGGAAUGUGCCGUGUAGCGGGGAAAUGCUUAGAUAUGGCACAGAACACCAAUUGCGAAGGCAGCUCACUAAGGCGAUACUGACGCUGAGGCACGAAAGCGUGGGGAUCGAACAGGAUUAGAUACCCCGGUAGUCC